This is a non-coding RNA of Xylaria sp. FL1777, 96 nucleotides long. Lineage: Eukaryota; Fungi; Ascomycota; Sordariomycetes; Xylariales; Xylariaceae. The record is from the annotation of a GenBank genome assembly.
GUUUUCGUGGCCUAGUGGUUAUGGCAUCUGUCUUACAAGAUAUACUACGUAUGGUUUGAACACAGAAGAUCCCCGGUUCGAUCCCGGGCGAAAACA